UACGUAGGGGGCAAGCGUUGUCCGGAAUCAUUGGGCGUAAAGCGCGUGUAGGCGGUCCGGUAAGUCCGCUGUGAAAGUCGGGGGCUUAACCCUCGGAUGCCGGUGGAUACUGUCGGGCUUGAGUACGGAAGAGGCGAGUGGAAUUCCUGGUGUAGCGGUGAAAUGCGCAGAUAUCAGGAGGAACACCAAUUGCGAAGGCAGCUCGCUGGGACGUUACUAACGCUGAGACGCGAAAGCGUGGGGAGCAAACAGG
This 253-nucleotide ribosomal RNA is filed under the name uncultured bacterium. RNAcentral describes it as "partial 16S ribosomal RNA". It matches the Rfam family "Bacterial small subunit ribosomal RNA", at positions 524 to 776 of the family's 1533-position model. The record is from RNAcentral.